Mytilus trossulus (common blue mussel) is the source of this 482-nucleotide long non-coding RNA. RefSeq lists it as uncharacterized. The transcript is spliced from 3 exons. NCBI's taxonomy places the organism in Eukaryota, Metazoa, Mollusca, Bivalvia, Mytilida, Mytilidae. The record is from RefSeq and is a predicted model, not a curated record.
CAGAUACCCAAAUAUGUUCCACUCCAACGAGAGGGAUUUCAUGGUGAAAAACUACCGGGAAGAGUCGCAUAUACCCAAAUAUGUUCCACUCCAAUGAGAGGGAUUUCAUGGUGAAAAACAACCGGGAAGAGUCGCAUAUACCCAAAUAUGUUCCACUCCAACGAGAGGGAUUUCAUGGUGAAAAACUACCGGGAAGAGUCGCAUGUUAGUAUUUGCUAAUUACAAUUGUACUUGAAACUAUGUUAAUAUAAGGGAGACAAUAAAAAUAUGUUUUACUGUAACAAUAGCUUAGAAUUGUAUGAUAAAUUUGGUCUUAAAUCAAUUUCUUUUAUUCAAAUUUAGACUCGAAUGAGGUAUAUUUUAAUUAGAAUUCACAGUAAUUGUAAAUCAAAUGUCACUGAUUUAAGAUUUAAAUCAAAACACAUCACAUCAAUUUCAAUAGCCAAAAUAUAUUCCCCAUUUUGAAGCUGAUACUAAUUUAU